UACGAAGGGGGCUAGCGUUGCUCGGAAUUACUGGGCGUAAAGGGCGCGUAGGCGGAUAGUUUAGUCAGAGGUGAAAGCCCAGGGCUCAACCUUGGAAUUGCCUUUGAUACUGGCUAUCUUGAGUUCGGGAGAGGUGAGUGGAAUGCCGAGUGUAGAGGUGAAAUUCGUAGAUAUUCGGCGGAACACCAGUGGCGAAGGCGGCCCACUGGGCAGUCACUGACGCUGAGGCGCGAAAGCUCGGGGAGCGAACGGG
This 253-nucleotide ribosomal RNA is filed under the name uncultured bacterium. RNAcentral describes it as "partial 16S ribosomal RNA". It matches the Rfam family "Bacterial small subunit ribosomal RNA", at positions 524 to 776 of the family's 1533-position model. The record is from RNAcentral.